Molecule: long non-coding RNA, 1269 nt
Organism: Eriocheir sinensis (Chinese mitten crab)
Lineage: Eukaryota; Metazoa; Arthropoda; Malacostraca; Decapoda; Varunidae
Exons: 3
Source: RefSeq, a predicted model, not a curated record
GAAAGAUUGAAAAUAAGCUUGAGAGGAAAGAAGAAGCUUGAAAGGGAAUAUAAGGGUUUGAGAGGCUAAGGAAAGAUUGAAAAUAAGCUUGAGAGGAAAGAAGAAGCUUGAAAGGGAAUAUAAGGGUUUGAGAGGCUAAGAAAAGAUUGAAAAUAAGCUUGAGAGGAAAGAAGAAGCUUGAAAGGGAAUAUAAGGGUUUGAGAGGCUAGGAAAAGAUUGAAAAUAAGCUUGAGGGAAAAGAAGAAGCUUGAAAGGGAAUAUAAGGGUUUGAGAGGCUAAGGAAAGAUUGAAAAUAAGCUUGAGAGGAAAGAAGAAGCUUGAAAGGGAAUAUAAGGGUUUGAGAGGCUAGGGAAAGAUUGAAAAUAAGCUUGAGGGAAAAGAAGAAGCUUGAAAGGGAAUAUAAGGGUUUGAGAUGCUAAGGAAAGAUUGAAAAUAAGCUUGAGGGAAAAGAAGCAGCUUGAAAGGGAACAUAAAGGUUUGAGAUGCUAAGGAAAGGUUGAAAAUAAGCUUGAGGGAAAAGAAGAAGCUUGAAAGGGAAUAUAAGGGUUUGAGAGGCUAAGGAAAGAUUGAAAAUAAGCUUGAGGGAAAAGAAGAAGCUUGAAAGGGAAUAUAAGGGUUUGAGAGGCUAAGGAAAGAUUGAAAAUAAGCUUGAGAGGAAAGAAGAAGCUUGAAAGGGAAUAUAAGGGUUUGAGAGGCUAAGGAAAGAUUGAAAAUAAGCUUGAGGGAAAAGAAGAAGCUUGAAAGGGAAUAUAAGGGUUUGAGAGGCUAAGGAAAGAUUGAAAAUAAGCUUGAGGGAAAAGAAGAAGCUUGAAAGGGAAUAUAAGGGUUUGAGAGGCUAAGGAAAGAUUGAAAAUAAGCUUGAGAGGAAAGAAGAAGCUUGAAAGGGAAUAUAAGGGUUUGAGAGGCUAAGGAAAGAUUGAAAAUAAGCUUGAGGGAAAAGAAGAAGCUUGAAAGGAAUAUAAGGGUUUGAGAGGCUAAGGAAAGAUUGAAAAUAAGCUUGAAAGAAAAGAAGCUUGAAAUGGACUCUAAAGGUUUGAGAGGCUAGGGAAAGGUUGAAAAUAAGCUUAAGAGGAAAGAGAGAAAAGUUCCAGGGCUUAUUUUUUCUUCUUUUUUUUCAUCUUAUUUUUCUUUCUAUUUUUUCAUCUUUUUAUUUUUAUUUUCAUCUAUUAUUUAUUUUCUUUAUUUUUUCAUCUUUAUUUUUACAUCUUUAUUUUUUCAUCUUAAUUUUUACAUCUUUAUUUUUUCAUCCUUAUUUUUCAUCUCUAUUUU